UACGGAGGGUGCAAGCGUUAAUCGGAAUUACUGGGCGUAAAGCGUGCGUAGGUGGUUCGUUAAGUCCGUUGUGAAAGCCCCGAGCUCAACUUGGGGAAUUGCAGUGGAUACUGGCGAGCUGGAGUGCGGUAGAGGAAGGUGGAAUUCCCGGUGUAGCGGGUGAAAAUGCGUAGAUAUUGGGGAGGAACACCAGUGGCGAAGGCGGCUCACUGGACCGGAACUGACGCUGAGGCGCGAAAGC
Molecule: ribosomal RNA, 241 nt
Filed under: uncultured bacterium
Lineage: Bacteria
Description: partial 16S ribosomal RNA
Rfam family: Bacterial small subunit ribosomal RNA
Source: RNAcentral